RNAcentral lists this transfer RNA (73 nucleotides) under Candidatus Margulisiibacteriota bacterium. RNAcentral describes it as "tRNA-Gly". It matches the Rfam family "tRNA". From Rfam's summary of the family: Transfer RNA (tRNA) molecules are approximately 80 nucleotides in length. Their secondary structure includes four short double-helical elements and three loops (D, anti-codon, and T loops). Further hydrogen bonds mediate the characteristic L-shaped molecular structure. tRNAs have two regions of fundamental functional importance: the anti-codon, which is responsible for specific mRNA codon recognition, and the 3' end, to which the tRNAs corresponding amino acid is attached (by aminoacyl-tRNA synthetases). tRNAs cope with the degeneracy of the genetic code in two manners: having more than one tRNA (with a specific anti-codon) for a particular amino acid; and 'wobble' base-pairing, i.e. permitting non-standard base-pairing at the 3rd anti-codon position. Lineage: Bacteria; Bacillati; Candidatus Margulisiibacteriota. The record is from RNAcentral.
GCGGGAGUAGCUCAGUUGGUAGAGCACGACCUUGCCAAGGUCGGGGUCGCGAGUUCGAACCUCGUCUCCCGCU